CCAGUUGACGAUGAAGAUCUCACUGAGAAGAUCCUGGACGAACUUGAUGACGAUUAUAGAGAACUGGUGCUUGCAAUUCAAGCAAGAGACAACUCUAUCUCAUUUGAUGAGCUUCAUGAGAAGCUGUUAACAUUUGAAG
RNAcentral lists this small nucleolar RNA (139 nucleotides) under Salix viminalis (osier). It matches the Rfam family "Small nucleolar RNA Z247". Rfam says of the family: Z247 is a member of the C/D class of snoRNA which contain the C (UGAUGA) and D (CUGA) box motifs. Most of the members of the box C/D family function in directing site-specific 2'-O-methylation of substrate RNAs. The record is from RNAcentral. Lineage: Eukaryota; Viridiplantae; Streptophyta; Magnoliopsida; Malpighiales; Salicaceae.